RNAcentral lists this ribosomal RNA (450 nucleotides) under uncultured bacterium. Its description in RNAcentral is "bacterial SSU rRNA". It matches the Rfam family "Bacterial small subunit ribosomal RNA", at positions 354 to 796 of the family's 1533-position model. The record is from RNAcentral.
GUGGGGAAUUUUGGACAAUGGGGGCAACCCUGAUCCAGCCAUGCCGCGUGAGUGAAGAAGGCCUUCGGGUUGUAAAGCUCUUUCGGCCGGGAAGAAAUCGCACAGGCUAAUACCUUGUGUGGAUGACGGUACCGGAAUAAGAAGCACCGGCUAACUACGUGCCAGCAGCCGCGGUAAUACGUAGGGUGCGAGCGUUAAUCGGAAUUACUGGGCGUAAAGCGUGCGCAGGCGGUUUUGUAAGACAGGCGUGAAAUCCCCGGGCUCAACCUGGGAACUGCGCUUGUGACUGCAAGGCUAGAGUACGGCAGAGGGGGGUGGAAUUCCACGUGUAGCAGUGAAAUGCGUAGAGAUGUGGAGGAACACCGAUGGCGAAGGCAGCCCCCUGGGCCGAUACUGACGCUCAUGCACGAAAGCGUGGGUAGCAAACAGGAUUAGAAACCCCAGUAGUCC